UCACAUGUAAGCAUAAUUGGUACUGCAAACGGCUGUUAACCGUUCUUCCGAAAGGUCUUGUUGGUUCGAGUCCAACCGUGUGAGCCA
RNAcentral lists this transfer RNA (87 nucleotides) under compost metagenome. Its description in RNAcentral is "tRNA-Asn". It matches the Rfam family "tRNA". Rfam says of the family: Transfer RNA (tRNA) molecules are approximately 80 nucleotides in length. Their secondary structure includes four short double-helical elements and three loops (D, anti-codon, and T loops). The record is from RNAcentral.